UACGUAUGGUGCAAGCGUUAUCCGGAUUUACUGGAUGUAAAGGGAGCGCAGGCGGCACGGCAAGCCUGAUGUGAAAGCCCGCGGCCCAACCGCGGGACUGCAUUGGGAACUACCGGGCUGGAGUGCCGGAGAGGUAGGCGGAAUUCCUAGUGUAGCGGUGAAAUGCGUAGAUAUUAGGAGGAACACCAGUGGCGAAGGCGGCCUACUGGACGGUGACUGACGCUGAGGCUCGAAAGCGUGGGGAGCAAACAGG
Molecule: ribosomal RNA, 253 nt
Filed under: uncultured bacterium
Lineage: Bacteria
Description: partial 16S ribosomal RNA
Rfam family: Bacterial small subunit ribosomal RNA
Source: RNAcentral